GGUGAACGCAAUUAGCAUUUUAGCCACGUUGCUCGUCUGACUCAUUCUGCUCCACGAAGGUCAUCUCCUCUGCCAGCUUCCUCUGAUCCAGGGAGACCCUCUGCUUCUCUCUGAUUGGUUCCCGCUUUCUACAGGAGGUCCAGUGCAGCUGAAUGGUGAUGAUGGUGCAAAUCAGUAACACUGACACUGUCUCCAUCCACACCCGUCACCUCCUGUUUGUCCACUGACAGCCCUGGAGGACUUCAACA
This is a long non-coding RNA of Brienomyrus brachyistius, 248 nucleotides long. RefSeq lists it as uncharacterized. The transcript has 3 exons. NCBI's taxonomy places the organism in Eukaryota, Metazoa, Chordata, Actinopteri, Osteoglossiformes, Mormyridae. The record is from RefSeq and is a predicted model, not a curated record.